UUCGAUGGAAAGUAGUAGUGGCGAACGGGUGAGUAACACGUGAGCACCUACCUUUCAGUGGGGGACAACAUUUGGAAACGAAUGCUAAUACCGCAUAAGGUCGCAUGGCCAAAGGUUAUCCGCUGAAAGAUGGGCUCGCGUCCGAUUAGCUAGAUGGUGAGGUAACGGCCCACCAUGGCGACGAUCGGUAGCCGGACUGAGAGGUUGAACGGCCACAUUGGGACUGAGACACGGCCCAGACUCCUACGGGAGGCAGCAGUGGGGAAUAUUGCACAAUGGGGGAAACCCUGAUGCAGCGACGCCGCGUGGAGGAAGAAGGUCUUCGGAUUGUAAACUCCUGUCCCAGGGGACGAUUGACGGUACCCUGGGAGGAAGCACCGGCUAACUACGUGCCAGCAGCCGCGGUAAAACGUAGGGUGCAAGCGUUGUCCGGAAUUACUGGGUGUAAAGGGAGCGCAGGCGGAUUGGCAAGUUGGGAGUGAAAUCUAUGGGCUCAACCCAUAAAUGCUUUCAAAACUGUCAGUCUUGAGUGGUGUAGAGGUAGGCGGAAUUCCCGGUGUAGCGGUGGAAUGCGUAGAUAUCGGGAGGAACACCAGUGGCGAAGGCGGCCUACUGGGCACUAACUGACGCUGAGGCUCGAAAGCAUGGGUAGCAAACAGGAUUAGAUACCCUGGUAGUCCAUGCCGUAAACGAUGAUUACUAGGUGUGGGAGGAUUGACCUUCCGUGCGCAGUUAACACAAUAAGUA
RNAcentral lists this ribosomal RNA (747 nucleotides) under uncultured bacterium. RNAcentral's name for it is "bacterial SSU rRNA". It matches the Rfam family "Bacterial small subunit ribosomal RNA", at positions 76 to 866 of the family's 1533-position model. The record is from RNAcentral.